Molecule: transfer RNA, 73 nt
Filed under: SAR324 cluster bacterium
Lineage: Bacteria; Deltaproteobacteria
Description: tRNA-Arg
Rfam family: tRNA
About the family: Transfer RNA (tRNA) molecules are approximately 80 nucleotides in length. Their secondary structure includes four short double-helical elements and three loops (D, anti-codon, and T loops).
Source: RNAcentral
GCUCCUGUAGUUAAACUGGAUAUAACGGCGGAUUCCGAUUCCGCUAUUCCGGGUUCGAGUCCUGGCAGGAGCA